RNAcentral lists this long non-coding RNA (9009 nucleotides) under Homo sapiens (human). RNAcentral's name for it is "HSALNT0214665". Lineage: Eukaryota; Metazoa; Chordata; Mammalia; Primates; Hominidae. The record is from RNAcentral.
CUCUCGAUGGGAAGAAGUGCCCUUUUCACUUGAAGACAAAGAAAUGUUUGUAAUGGAAAUGUGUGAACCAAUUUUCCAAGGAGAGCUGCUGAAAAGCACUGAUUAAAAACACAGCGAGGUGAUGAGGCAGUGAAAUAAAGCCAGAGCUGACCCACUUAAAGUUUGUGGCUGCACUUCCUUCUGAAAGUGAAGAGAGCAACCCUGGGCCACCUUCUACAUUCUUUCCCUUCUCCCCAACCCCAAGCAGUCCCUGCCCCAUUACUGACCCUGCAACUCUGUAGACAAUCAGAACCUUCCAGCGUGCAGGAAUGUUUACUAUUUCUGGCCAUUGUGUACUGGUUACUAAGCUACUGCCACUGAGGAUGAAAUGGUAACCCAGUAGCCCAAAAGACAAAGUCCUUCUCAACAAAGCCUAACCAACAGGCAAUGGAUUAUAGUGAUUCAGAGGAAAGAUAAGAAGGUUCCUUUGUCUUGGACCUCCACUAGACAUCAAGGAAACAUGCCAAAAAAGUAAACAACAAAGGCCCCCACACCUUUCCAAACUACAACCCAAAAUAAGUUGAUCUGAGAAACAAAUUGCAAUGCCGCAUGCAAAGCAGAUGUGUCCAAAUUCAUGUAGGACCAGACACAUCCUGAACCUUUCAGUGCAACAGCUGUUCAAGACUUUCUUCAAAAUCAUCCAAGCACAAGGGUUGAUAAAAUACACACAAAAUGGCUGAUGCUCAAACCAACCAAAACACCAGGCUCUUUGCUGAAACCUCUGAGAAGGGUUCCUGGCUCCAGGUCAGCCUCAAUGGAAUAAAGGAAGAUCACCUACCACUUCAAACUGAAGAGCUGAAGGAGUUGUAUCAAGAUACAGAGUGCAGCAAGUAUAGGAAACAUUAGAGAAACUGACCUGUCUGGAGAUGGCAAGCUGCAGAGCCAGGUAGAAAGCUGCUUGGUGAUCUGUGGGUGACAGGCUGUGGGCCCUGAAAAAGUAUUUACGGCUAUUAGUACAUGGGAGAGGAGGCCAUUUUUACUUUCCCUAUCAAGCAAGUCUUCUCCACAUUUGCAUUCUUAUACUAAGGGCCCGUAUUUAUUUAACUAUGUAAUGCUUCAUUUAAACUCUUCUUCUUUGUCCACCUACACAUGUAAACCAUUUCCCUCUUACCACUGUAUAAAGGUACAGAAUAGGAGUGCAUUUCUGUGUUUUGUCUAGCAUCUAAAAUGGCAGCUGAAGCUUGUCGGCUUUGCGGAGGGCCUCGAGGUGAAGAAUCCAUAGGCCCUGAGGUCUGAUCUCCCCAGCAGAUGGGUCUCUGUGUCGUGCUGGGACGCAGUGAAGCCAUGUGUGCACUUGGCAAGGCGAUGGCUGCUUUGGUUAAGUUUGGCUUGGCCUUCCUUAAUGCUACUUUAUCCAAAUUUCUAGAUUUCAGAGAAACCAUAUGAAAAUCAAAGACCCAGCUUUGCUUAUAAAAUGAGGUUUGGGUUUUUGGUGAAAAAAGGGAAGAGAAAGGCACUCAUUCAGUCUUUUGAAGCUUCUACAAAAUUCCAUGCCGUUCACUGAUUUAUUGCAGAUAACUGUCGUGUAAGAGUGUGGUGAGACACUAGGCUCAGUUUUAAGAACUGGCCUUUGACGUCAGACAGGAAGGGACCAUACUGGCCUCCUAGCUGAUUGCAAACGUGGUCUUCUCUGCUUCUAUGUGGAAGUCAUUUGUAUUUCAGCAUAAGCAACUCAAAAUUUGACUACAUACUAGACAUAAUUCUGUGUUUAACUGCUGGGAAGAGAAAAACAAACUUCUACUUUCUUUAAAAGGCACCAUGGAGCAGACUAAUUAGGUGGGACCCAGAUAGUAAACAAAACUUCAUGCUGUUCUGUCAACAUUCUGUGAUUAAAGGAGGAUCUUCUACCAGCAGAAAACAAAUUCGAGAUAAAAAAGAAAACCAAAUCAUUAUGGAUUCAACUGUGGCAAACAGGCCAAAGAUGGCUUUCUACAAUAAUAAGGCCUUUUAAUUGGACUGUCUGCUGCAGGGAAGGGAGCUAACAAACCUCCCAGGUGUUUGCCAUCCAGAAAAUAUGCUAAAUUCACUAAUUUAGGUCAUUGUUUAUGCAAAUGUAAUAGCUCAUAUGCAGGUCCAGGGUGAGGCAAAGCUAAUCUCUGUCCUUAUAUUAAUCUUAGGAGCAAAGCACAUAGACUUCCAUUCCAGGGGACUCUUCACUUGGCCUCAAGACAUAGCCUCAGGACUUUUCUUAGCUUAGUUGAAGAGGCUGAAGCUGAUAUUGCCUGUGUUACCCUUUUACAUGUCUUAUUUCUCUUUUUUUUUCUUUUUCUUUUUCAGACAGGGUCUUACUCUAUCACCCAGGCUGGAGUGCAGUGGCAUGAUCACUGCUCAUUGCAGCCUCAACCUCCCAGGGCCCAAGCGAUCCUCCCAUCUUAGCCUCCCAAGGUGCUGGGACCACAGGCGUGCUCCCCACGCCCAGCUAAUUUAUAGAAUUUUUUGUAGACCCGGGGUUUCAACAUGCUAUCCAGGCUAGUCUGGAACUACUAGGCUCAAGUGAUCCUCCCACUUUGGCAUCCCAAAACCCUGGGAUUACAGGCAUAAGCCACCACGCCCAGCUACUAAAUGGCUUAUUUCUAAGGUCCACUCAGUAUAUAGCAGCUUUUAUAAUUUUACAAAUAUUGGCUUUCCAUGAAUUUGUACAUCAAAGAAUAUUUUUCUUUGGUGUUUAUAAAAGUGAGAUUGAAAAAUCAUGGUUUCUCUCAUAAUUAUUCAGGAAAAAUAAUACACAAUUAUGAAGAAAUUUUUAGAUUUAUUUUAUCUUCUUUCACAAAUAAUAAAUUUACAGAACCCUCAAAAAGAACUUCUUAGAAUUAUAAUUUUCUCAGUUCAAUUCAUAUUCUUCACGAAUAAAUCAAGUCAUGGUUGCCUCUAUGCAAUACCAACCAACUGAAAAGCUGGCAAUGAUCUGUUGAGUUGAGGGUGUACAUAAAGAUAGUUCUGGCUAAAGGCCCCAUGCUGGCCUCAUCAAAUGAUUUUUCUCUGUUAACCACAGCACCGUGAAAGGAACAAACCAGAAGUGCUAGAAAUCUUGGUAUUUCUGGAGUGCAUUAGGGCAACAUCUGAAGGAUUUCCAACUUGGCUAAUGAUGCAUAUUCAACUGCCAAAUUUCUAAUGAGGCACAACUGAAACAUAUACAUUUUAAAAACCUUAUUUCUACAACUUGGCUAAUGAAUUCAACUGACCACUUCACCCUCUGAAGGAAAUAAGGCAAAUGCCAAACAAAACAAGAAAAAGCUCCCUGUGUUGAUCUCAAGUAGAUGCUAAAAUACUUGCUUCCCGUGGAGCAACUUCAGCAGCUAAGCUUCCUGUGGGAAAGCCCCUUUGGUAUGCCACAGGCAACUCGCCGGACAGAAAUCCUCAGGCCAGGCAGAUGAGAGAGAGGACAUUAGUGAUCAGAAAAAUUGCAAGCCUUCUGAACUCUGUAAAUGAAUCUAAAGCAGCCUCAUAAACUCCGUGCCCAUAAACUGAACACCUGGCUAGACUGCUCAGAAAUACCUAAAAGACCUAAAAAUGUCACCACAAGGAUGCUCACAAAAUGCUUCCCUUAUCAAAGCACCUCCACAUAAUUAAUUCAGUUUCUCUCCCAUGAAGAAGAACCCACUCAUCCUUUUAUCCACUUACCCACCCAUCCACCCAGCCAACCACCCACCCAUCCACCUAUCCAUCCAUCCACCAUCCAACCAUCCACCUACCCAUCCAUCCACCAUCCACCCAUCCACAUUAUGCAAUAUCUAUAAUGUGAUGCCAGGCCCUAUGCUAACUUCUGGGGAGCAUGGAGAUGAAUCAUGCUAGUGCCUUUCCUUGAUGAGCUCCCACCCCCGCCCCAGAGGGAGAGACCCAGAAUGACCAUCAUCAUCGUGCAGUGGGAGCAGUGCCCAGAGAUAGGCAUGCUGGGCUGCUACUGGAAAGCAUCGGAUGGGCUUCCCAGAUCACCUGGCUAGAACCCAAGGAUGUUGUGGCAUCUAACCCAGGGCUCUCUUAGAUUCCAUUUCCAACAUUCUCUAGAGCUGAACCAAGAAUAUAGAGAAGGCUGAUCAAUGCUGACCCUAGUCCAUAAGACACAUAUCUUGUAACAAUAGUAACUACAAUUUGUGAAGUUAUCGACUAUUACGCUUCUUGUCCAAGAACAGCCAGCAAAUGAGAGAAAGCCAGAACCUUGCUGCCUUGUUUAGCCAAUUCUCCUUGAAUUUCCCUUCAGUCCUGAUUACAGGGGCCAUGGGAUUCGUGCAUUAAGUUUUUUAAAAAGUGCAAACCCUGGUUAAAUCUAUUGCUCAGGAAUCUCUCGUUAGUUACUCACACAGGGUGACCAACUUGUCCUGGUUUGUCCAGGAUGUUCCUGAUUUUAGCACUGCAAGUCCCAUGUUCUGGGAAAACGCUCAGUCCUCAAGAGAUUGGGAUGGCUGAUCACCCUAUAUGCACACAUCAUACCACACUUAAACUCAAGCUAGGACAGAAAGGGGAAAGCAAAGCAAGAUCGUGUACCCUGUGCCACAAUGAGUGAUAAACAAACACCACCAUGCCACCCCUGCCUCCUGGAGCACCAGGCUUUAUGCAUACUGUGGGCCAUGCAAUGAAAGGUGCUCUCAACUGUUUUCAGGAUGGCUUUUCUCAGUAGGAUGUGAGAGCCUGCAGAAGAAGCAAGUCAUAUCAAUUCAGCAUCUUCAGAAGCUUUGCAAACAAUAUUAUGUUCUUCUUCACUAUACUUUAGUACAGGGCAAAUGAAUUGGUUCAGCUGCCUGGGUUGAGCUUAUGAGUGUAGGAACAGGUGAGGGUCUCACAUUCAGAUGCAGCCACCCAACCUGGAUGUCUUCAAAAAUCACCUCUUUGGAUCCACUAGAGAACAAAUAUGUCUGAAUUCUGGCAGUCAUAAUUAAGAGUUAACUUUCUUGUGCUAUAUCUGCAACCCCAUCCCUUCCUGAAUUGUGUUUUCUUUUUAAACAAAAAAUGCAAAACAUUAGUAUAAACAGAAUUGUGGGGAGAAUAUUUAAAACAAAUAGUAGAGAAAGUACUUCUCAUCAAAGUAGUUUUAAAUUAUCCAUUUACAUUUAAGAAGUAAUACAAAUCAUUUUCACUUACUUAAAAUCUUUCCCUUAAAGAUUUUUGUUAGGACUGCAAUUCACUAGAAUAGUCCUAGUUAAUGUGUACUUGAAAUAAAAUGAAAAACAUUCUAUAUUUCACACAAAUUCUAAUUUAGGUUAGCCUUCUGCAAUAUCAUCAGUUAGGUUAGCGGGAUUUUAUUACUCUUUAUUCCCAUAUGAACUAAUAUUUUAAAAAUCUCUUCGAAUUUAAACUUAAGCAAAAGAUGAACAAAAAAGAAUUCAGGCCAAUGGAGCAGCUGUUAUAUAACAUGAAGUUAUACUGGCAGCUCAAGGCAGACCACCACUGUGGCUGUUUUUAGAGAGCCAGUAAGAUGUGCUGAUUUAAGAAAAGUGAAACAGAUGUAAUGACCACUUUCUUAAGCAUCCAUGUGUGGGUUUUACAAACUAGGACUGGAGAAUUUAAAACUCCAAAUCAUUUGAAAUGGAAAUGCUUUCCACACUCCGUGCUGAGGAACAUCAACAAAAGCUUAGCACAGAGACAGGAGAUCUGUUUGCAGAUGUCAGUUGGUACUUUUUGUCAAUACCCAGACUGGGGCUGGCAACCUGAAGUAGCUACCGGCAAGCCUGCUAGGAAACAGAAAUGAGACGGAAGAGUUUCAGACUCACUGAAACCACUGAUCAUGAUUUCAUGAAAAAAGGCAUACGGACACCAUGAUAAAUCAGUAGGCAGCCCCAGUUCUAAGGAAAGAGUCUAACGAAGCUUGUCAGGUAUUGGGAAGGCCUCAUGAAAUAUUCGUAACUAAGUUUCUAAUACAGUUCCAAGAAAUCAGUGUAACUCAGAUAUAUUUAAAGUGACAGGAUCAAUACCCAUGCUGGAUUUCACAUCAUGGGGCUAUGCUUCCAGAUGAUUUCAUUUUUGUGAUUAUACCUGUAACAAGAAUAAAAUGAGGGCAGUGUAGUAUGGUGGGGCAGGAGAAACUGUGUUAGAGCCAGGAGACCCUGACUGCAUACUGACUUCAACAGCUGCGGGACCGGCAGCUCCUGUAACUCCUGCGCCUCAGUCCCUGACCUGCAAGGGACAUACUGCCUGUCCGUCUUCCUCACUUGUGUGUGGUAAGCAACAAAUUAAAUAAGGGAUGUGAAGGCACGCUGUGACACUCGAGCAUUUUAUAAUUGCAAGGCCUUCUCCUAAUUUCCUGAGAGGCACAAUGACAGAGAGAAGCACAAGGUGUUAUGGAACAAGGUGGGGGCGGGGAGUUUGGGGCUGACUGUCUUCACUCAGUAUUUCGGAGACUUCCUGAAAUCGGCCUUCUCAUUCCUUUAUACAAAAACCUGCAGUUUGACAUGUUUUUUUUAAAAAAAAAAAAAAGCUAGAAAAGAAUAAUCUCUUCUCUAGAUGAUGACAAAUGUCUUUAAUAAAGGACUCAUCUCCCUUGGCAUACAAAAUACCUAUCUUUUUUGAGCUGAAAUCACUUUAUUAGGAAUGAAUAAAAUGUGCCCAAAUGGAUAAACAGAUUAAGAGUGCAGAUUGACACAGCAACAAGUGAUACAGCAGGGUUUGUGUGCUGUGUGUUCGGUGCUCAGGACGAAAGACUCUCAGGGGUAAAACACUGUUUACAUAAUCUUUAUAAAUAUCUCUUCUUUUUAUACUCAUCAUACUUUGGUGUCAUUAUGUACAGCCGAGUGAAAAGAUGAACUCCCACUCACCUCUGAAAUGCAAGAAGCGCCUUUCUCUGUAGGACCUCCUGCAUCCCUCGCAAAGAAGCUAAGAAAAGGGUUCAAUUAGUCAGUGGCAUGGGGGAUCAGGGAAUUUUGACAAAUACAAAACCCAUCACAAAACCUGUACAUUCAACUGGAUUAAAAGCAACAAUGUCUGAGUGCCUACGUGCCCAGUCCUGCACCAGGCCCUGGAGAAGAUAGGAAACAGAGCCCAGUCCUACCCCCAAGGUGCCUGCACUCAUUAGGUGUGACUGUGGAACAAUGCCAAGGGGACAGUGUGAGUUGGGUGGUCACUCUUGGUACUCCCAGGCAUAUGGGGGCCAUUUGCAAAAGACCAGUUGGGAACUCCAGAAGGAGCACGACUGCCCUCUCAAGUGUAGGCAUGUAACUCAGGGGAACGACAAGCUCUAUGAAGAUGGGGUGGGAGGGUUGCAAGCACCGGCAGUGUUGAUUUUGACAGCCUUGCCUUCAGAGUUCCUUCUGCCACUGAGAAGCUGCAGUCCUGGGCCACCGACAGUAGCUUGCUGCCUUGAAAGGCCAGCUUGGUUCACACUGGGCAAUGGCCAGGACCUUUAACACCUUCAUGUGAACACAAGGAAUGGAGUAGGCAAACCUAACACUGAUCAUGGAAAAUGAGCUCAAAAGCAUGAGGCCACCUCGCUGUGAAUCAACACUUCCCCUGUGCAGAGCAUGUGAGAAAUGGCCCCUUAAACCUGGCUAGGAAUGAAAAAGGUACUUUUUACUAGGGCAAGAGAAAAAGUCCUGGAGGAAACUGUUUAUGGCUGGAACUGCAAGAGGCCAUUACCUAACGCCUCCAACAUGGCACCUCCCAGCCUGGCAUGAGACUGAGAGCAGUGAAAGGCUGCCAGGGGGUCAAUGUGGCUGGAGACCAUGGCUAACUUAGAACAGCAGUGACACAGCUAGAGAGAACCUCAGAAAGGACCCAACUGACCCAAGAAUGGAAAAGGAAGCCCCAUAGGGUCAAGCAACUCUCCCAAAGUUGCAGGAGUAAUGAGGGGUAGAGUCUGAAGAAUUUACAUGGGUUAAUAUGUGGCAUUAAAUUUGCCCCUCACUCAAAGUCUACUAUGUCAAAAGCUAUGUGCUGGGUAUUGCCAAUGUACCAUGUGUAUAUGGAAAAUUAGCAAGUAAUCCAUAUUGAAAAGUAAUUAAUAUGCACAACUUUCCCAGGACCUUUGAUAUUUUAGGGCAGAGGAAAGAAUUUGGAGUAAUUUGUAAAAUAAAUUACAACAAAACCAUAAAGAAAAAAUGAAGUAUUACAAAAGCCAGGAUAGUAUUUCCUCGUAAGGGAGAGAAGGGAGUUUGUGAUUGGGAGGGGCACACGGAGGGCUCCCCAGGGGGCUGGCAAGGUUCUAGCUCCUCAGCAGGGUAAUGACUACAGGAUAUUUUGCCUUAUACUAAUUAAAAUUCAUUAAAUUAACCAUGUGUUUCUGGGAUUUUUGUUUUGCAUUUGUGUUAUAUUUAACAACAACAUGAUAAAAGAAUAGUAACAGUUCAGGAAAAGUUUGUUAAAUUUUCUGCAAAUAUCACUGAAAACUUAAGUAUACAAGAUUUUUUCUUAGCUAGAAUCCCAUCCAUCAGAACUCUAAGCACAUCCAAAAAUCACUGCGCCCAAGACCCCUAGGUGUCUUGUGAGCUGCUGCACUGCACAUGUACAUAUCUACAAAUUAAAAUGUGCAAAUGGAGAAGGGGCAUUUCCUGACCAGUCAAGGGAAGCUUCCUGGAAGUGUCUGGCCCUGACUCUUCCACAUUCCUGUACCUAAGAUCCAGCAUCCCUUCACACAGGACAGCCCAGACCAAGUGGUGGGACAGGGGCAGGUGCAAGGCUAGGUGGAUGAAUCAUCCCUCAAAGCGCAGUGAGGUGCCCAGUGUGCCACCAGCAUAAUGUACCUAAAAAUGAGGCCUGGGAGCCCUGGCACAGGGCCUUCCUCCCUGCCCUCCCAUUCUCCCAUCAGACCAAGCAAAGAGGACAGCAGCACCAGGGGCCCCACCGGAUGGCACACCAGAAUGCCCCAGCUUCUGCACCCUCCUGAGACAGAAGGGGACUGUGGGAAUCCCGCAGGGUAGACUUAGGUAGUCCAGCCCUGCAGCUCAGCAGCUGUGGGGGUGGGACGUCUCUCACCGUCAGUGGCCUGCAGACUGUACGUGAGCCCCAGAGCUAAGUAGCCUUUGGCCUUGAACUCUGACGUUUUCU